AGACGAUGGCCAAGUUACUUACCUGUGUGCUCUCUCACUUUUCAACCAAAUCCUGCCCAGAACUGUCCUGUUGACUGAGGAAAGCUUCAUGCAGAUUAUCAGAAGUGCUGUGAGCCCCCAAAUGAAUUUUGCCCAGUGCGUAUAAUCAAGCACGGGAAAAGGAAUGAGAACGUGAGAUGUCUACAUCUGCUAACUUAAAAGGAGGAGUUCUAAACUUGUUGAUCUGCAGGCCGGAUCAAGUGGCGCCCAACGUGGGGCUCCUGGCAUGGAGAAGUUAACGAGGGAGCCGUUCGAAAGACAGCAGGCUUAAACUAAAAGUGAAAGCAAAUUGAACCGGAGACCUUGGCCGAGGAGUGAGUAAACUAAAUCAAGGAUUAAAGCUUAAAGCAACAGGACAUUAAAUUAAGUACCGAGACCUGCGCAGAUGACUACCCGACGUCCUGCCCGAGUCACGGUGAAGUGAAAAUGUGAUGAAGGCAAAGUCCACACCUACCGUGUGUGUGGAAACAUUUAAACCGAUUAACAGAACACUAAGCAUUUAUAGUUCAACCUAUUUCAGGAUUAAAGGGUAAAAGCUGCUGUGUUGAGCAGCUCUCUCUGCCAGGAUGUUUCUGCUUCACUAAGGUCUAUGCACCUAGAGACCACGGACUGGAACAUUUGAAACACUGAGUCCAAAUCCACGUUUCCUCCUCCUUUAAGCUGUUUGUUUCAGCUAAUCUGUCACAGUGAUAAAAGCUGACUAACAUGAGGAAAGUGGUGAAUAUGUGGUACAAAAACUUAUUGAAAAGAUUCACGUAAGCAGAAGAAUAUUACUUUUCUUUAA
Long non-coding RNA from Cavia porcellus (domestic guinea pig), 823 nucleotides. RefSeq lists it as uncharacterized. NCBI's taxonomy places the organism in Eukaryota, Metazoa, Chordata, Mammalia, Rodentia, Caviidae. The transcript has 5 exons. The record is from RefSeq and is a predicted model, not a curated record.